Molecule: ribosomal RNA, 492 nt
Filed under: uncultured bacterium
Lineage: Bacteria
Description: partial 16S ribosomal RNA
Rfam family: Bacterial small subunit ribosomal RNA
Source: RNAcentral
AGUGAACGCUGGCGGUAGGCCUAACACAUGCAAGUCGAACGGCAGCACAGUAAGAGCUUGCUCUUACGGGUGGCGAGUGGCGGACGGGUGAGGAAUACAUCGGCAUCUACUUUUUCGUGGGGGAUAACGUAGGGAAACUUACGCUAAUACCGCAUACGAUCUACGGCUGAAAGCAGGGGAUCUUCGGACCUUGCGCGUUUGAAUGAGCCGAUGUCGGAUUAGCUAGUUGGCGGGGUAAAGGCCCACCAAGGCGACGAUGCGUAGCUGGUCUGAGAGGAUGAUCAGCCACACUGGAACUGAGACACGGUCCAGACUCCUACGGGAGGCAGCAGUGGGGAAUAUUGGACAAUGGGCGCAAGCCUGAUCCAGCCAUACCGCGUGGGUGAAGAAGGCCUUCGGGUUGUAAAGCCCUUUUGUUGGGAAAGAAAAGCAGCAGGUUAAUACCCCGCUGUUCUGACGGUACCCAAAGAAUAAGCACCGGCUAACUUCGUG